GCUGGGCAUGGUGGCGUGUGCCUGUAAUCCCAGCUACUCGGGAGGCUGAGGCAGGAGAAUUGCUUGAACCCAGGAGGCGGAGGUUGCGGUGAGCCGAGAUCGUGCCAUUGCACUCCAGUCUGGGUAACAACGGUGAGACUCUGUCUCAAAAAAAAAAAAAAGAGUCUUUUCUCUGUUGCCCAGGCUGGAGUGCAGUGGUGUGAUCUUAGCUUACUGCAACCUCCGCCUCCUGGGUUCAAGCAGUUCUCUGCCUCAG
Molecule: signal recognition particle RNA, 256 nt
Filed under: Callithrix jacchus (white-tufted-ear marmoset)
Lineage: Eukaryota; Metazoa; Chordata; Mammalia; Primates; Cebidae
Description: Metazoan signal recognition particle RNA (ENSCJAG00000059402.2)
Rfam family: Metazoan signal recognition particle RNA
About the family: The signal recognition particle (SRP) is a universally conserved ribonucleoprotein. It is involved in the co-translational targeting of proteins to membranes.
Source: Rfam by way of RNAcentral